AACAUCGCGCACCUGCGGGAACCUGCGGAAGGAUCAUUACCGAGUUAUACAACUCAUCAACCCUGUGAACAUACCUAAAACGUUGCCUCGGCGGGAACAGACGGCCCCGUAACACGGGCCGCCCCCGCCAGAGGACCCCCUAACUCUGUUUCUAUAAUGUUUUUUCUGAGUAAACAAGCAAAUAAAUCAAAACUUUUAGCAAUGGAUCU
This 209-nucleotide unclassified non-coding RNA is filed under the name soil metagenome. Its description in RNAcentral is "partial contains 5.8S ribosomal RNA, internal transcribed spacer 2, and large subunit ribosomal RNA". The record is from RNAcentral.